This is a long non-coding RNA of Canis lupus familiaris (dog), 568 nucleotides long. RefSeq lists it as uncharacterized. The transcript has 3 exons. The record is from RefSeq and is a predicted model, not a curated record. NCBI's taxonomy places the organism in Eukaryota, Metazoa, Chordata, Mammalia, Carnivora, Canidae.
AGCACCUCUUUAAGAUGCCUUGUAGAGAAGAUUUCAUGAGAUUUCCCAGGCAGCCUGACUCCUGCUCCCAGGAGGCCAUCUUCAAGAUUCACAGGUGCUGACAGACUAAAGUGACCAUCCUAUGAACAGAAGACCCAGGUCACUCGGAGCCAGGAGAAAGUCCAGCUGGAUUAAUGAAUGGAUGCUGAAGGCCCAGAGCAGAGGAGAUAACUGUACCUGGAGCUAAUCAACCAACACAAGGAAGAAACUGAGACACAGAGAGGUGCAGUGCUUCCUCAAGGUCAUGCAGCAUAUAAACAGUCGUGAGCAAAGUCCUCUGGAUGUGGAGUCCAUCCUCAGGAUCACUUCAGCAUGAAGGUAGCUGACUUAGAUGGUGCCAUCUUUUGUUGUGUAGCCCUUCUUGUUUUGCCAACAACUUUCAAAAGUGGUCUUAUUUUGCCCUGAUGACAGGGUUAGCUGUUAACAGGGAUAGGAGGCAAAGUUGCCAGUUUAUAUCUGAGGUAACCAUGAUGUCAACAGCAGCUUGAAAUUGUCAGAAUUGCUCAUGCUCAGACUAUGGGGAAAAGAA